RNAcentral lists this long non-coding RNA (1055 nucleotides) under Nicotiana tabacum (common tobacco). RNAcentral describes it as "long non-coding RNA (NTAB_LNC012515)". Lineage: Eukaryota; Viridiplantae; Streptophyta; Magnoliopsida; Solanales; Solanaceae. The record is from RNAcentral.
CAUAAUAAAAUAUUGAUUUCUGUGAGGAAAAAAACUUUGGAGUGGGGCUAUAAAUAAAGCCCUUAAUUGAGCAAUACAAUUCAACCAAAUACACUUUCCUCUGUCGCAAUUCUUAAAGUUGUGUUAACAUGGCCGGAAAUAAGAUUUACUUUUCUCAUUGCUGCCUCCUUUUGGCGAUUACUAGUUAGUAGUUCUCUUUUUUCAUACCUAUAUAUAUAUAUAUAUAUAUGAGCAUAUGAUAUGUUUCUACAUGUAUUUGCACACUAAUUUUAUAGGGGAGCCUUGGCGUAACUGGUAAAGUUGCUGCCAUGUGACCAGGAGGUUACGGGUUCAAGCCGUGGAAACAGCCUCUUGCAGAAAUGCAGGGUAAGGCUGCGUACAAUAGACCCUUGUGAUCUGGCCCUUCCCCGAACUCUGUGCAUAGCGGGAGCUUAGUGCACCGAUCUGCCCAAUUUAACUUGCCAUUAAAUAUGUCUUUAAAUUGCUAUUGAUUUAUAAAUAUGCAGUUAAUGUCUUGAGCGUUCCGAGGAUGCAAGUGAUGGCAUCGCGAAACAUACCAUUAAAUAUGUACUCCUACAAUAUUAUGGAAGGAAGCCUACUGAUUCCUGCACUUAAUGACAGAGCUUGUCUUUUACCCUGCAGGGUAAAUACAGACUGCUCUAGUGGCACCGUUUGCAGAACUUGUGGGCCGAGUUAUACAUGUUCUCCUUAGGAAUUUUAAACAAAUUCCCAUGCUUAUGUUGUUUUCCUUUUUCAUGUUCCGCUUUCCAUCUUUAUGUGCCACCUGUGUGCUGUGAGAUAUUACAUAAGUGACUGAAUUGUGUUAUAAUAAGGUAAGUAAAAUUGUUGUUUUAUGAUAUAUCAUGUGUAUUCAGUUGCAAUAUUAAUAAUGAUGAGUGUAUUGAGUAUAUAUGCAUCAUAGUGCUUCUCCUUUUACUUUCUUGCCCUUUCUGCUUGGAUGGUUGUUAUGUAUCGUUUCAUAAUAUAGUAUACUAUUGUAUUGUAUUGUACUGUAUCAUUUUGAUGUAUACAAUCCUUAGAUAGAUUGUAUUGAU